RNAcentral lists this ribosomal RNA (406 nucleotides) under uncultured bacterium. RNAcentral's name for it is "partial 16S ribosomal RNA". It matches the Rfam family "Bacterial small subunit ribosomal RNA", at positions 28 to 526 of the family's 1533-position model. The record is from RNAcentral.
GACGAACGCUGGCGGCGUGCCUAAUACAUGCAAGUAGAACGCAGUUGCGAACGGGUGAGUAACGCGUAGGUACCUGCCUCAUAGCGUGGGAUCACUAUUGGGAACGAUAGCUAAUACAGCAUCCUGUGAGAUGGACCUCCGUUGUAUUGGCUAGUUGGUGAGGUAAAGGCUCACCAAGGCGACGAGACAUAGCAGACCUGAGAGGGUGAUCGGCCACACUGGGACUGAGACACGGCCCAGACUCCUACGGGAGGCAGCAGUAGGGAAUCUUCGGCAAUGGACGGAAGUCUGACCGAGCAACGCCGCGUGAGUGAAGAAGGUUUUCGGAUCGUAAAGCUCUUUUGUUAGAGAAGCGGAAACGAACCAGAAACAGACGGCUAACUACGUGCCAGCAGCCGCGUAAUAC